This 404-nucleotide ribosomal RNA is filed under the name Actinomycetes bacterium. Its description in RNAcentral is "Actinobacteria bacterium partial 16S ribosomal RNA". It matches the Rfam family "Bacterial small subunit ribosomal RNA", at positions 355 to 776 of the family's 1533-position model. Lineage: Bacteria; Bacillati; Actinomycetota; Actinomycetes. The record is from RNAcentral. RNAcentral also lists the same sequence under 1 other name.
UGGGGAAUAUUGGACAAUGGGCGCAAGCCUGAUCCAGCCAUGCCGCGUGAGUGAUGAAGGCCCUAGGGUUGUAAAGCUCUUUCACCGGUGAAGAUAAUGACGGUAACCGGAGAAGAAGCCCCGGCUAACUUCGUGCCAGGAGCCGCGGUAAUACGAAGGGGGCUAGCGUUGUUCGGAUUUACUGGGCGUAAAGCGCACGUAGGCGGACUUUUAAGUCAGGGGUGAAAUCCCGGGGCUCAACCCCGGAACUGCCUUUGAUACUGGAAGUCUUGAGUAUGGUAGAGGUGAGUGGAAUUCCGAGUGUAGAGGUGAAAUUCGUAGAUAUUCGGAGGAACACCAGUGGCGAAGGCGGCUCACUGGACCAUUACUGACGCUGAGGUGCGAAAGCGUGGGGAGCAAACAGG